Molecule: ribosomal RNA, 1524 nt
Filed under: Triticum aestivum (bread wheat)
Lineage: Eukaryota; Viridiplantae; Streptophyta; Magnoliopsida; Poales; Poaceae
Description: partial small subunit ribosomal RNA
Source: RNAcentral
CAACGGCUGGAGAUGCCCUCGUUCCUGCAUAGGCCGAGAAAAAACUCACCGCAGCUAGCCCCUACCGCCGAGACACAUCGAGCCAGCCGCUCGCUUCCCAUCCCGACCUCCCGUCUCCCCGCUCGCCGGACGCCCAGAGCCGCAGCCUCUCCGUCCCGCCCGCUCGGCGUUUGGGGCUCGGCAGCAGCCGCGCCACCGCAACUGUGCGGGCCGUGCCCCUGCCUCUGGCCGCCAGGCGCCCCUGCAAGCCGGCGCACGCCGCCCACUCCGCACACCGGCUCUCGGCCGGCAGGCAGCAGCAAGCCAGCAACCAUCCUUAUUGAUUUGAGACCCAGCAUAGCAGCAAGGAAGCGGACGGGAGGGUGAUGGGAAGCAACAACCCCGGCGGCGCAGGCGGAGGGAUGGCUCCGGGCAUGGGAGCGGGCAGCAGCGACGGGCGGCACGAUGACGAGGCCGUACUCACUGAGUUCCUCUCCUCCCUCAUGGACUACAACCCCAUGAUUCCGGACGAGCUCGUGGAGCACUACCUCGGCCGCAGCGGCUUCCACUGCCCUGACCUACGCCUUACAAGGUUGGUUGCUAUAGCUACUCAAAAGUUCAUUUCAGACGUCGCAAGUGACUCCCUUCAGCAUUGCAAAGCCAGGGUUGCAGCACCUAUCAAAGACAACAAGAGCAAACAACCGAAGGAUAGACGUCUUGUAUUGACAAUGGAUGAUCUUUCAAAAGCCCUGCGUGAGCAUGGUGUUAACCUGAAACAUCCGGAGUAUUUUGCGGACAGCCCAUCAGCAGGGAUGGGCCCUUCAACAAGAGAGGAAUAGAAUCAAUCACUUCCCGUACCAGGACAUGCCCUUACAACUUUAUGUACCGUUGCAGCCAUCGUGUAUUAUGGACCAGCAGUGUGUGGUUGCCACCAUUUUGAUGCGUAUGUAUAGUAUUGCUGAUCAUGUUCUCCAAGUCACCACCUAUGUUGGAUUUGAUUGCAUCUUGAAACUGUCGAUUACAUGAAAUUGGCUUUGUGUAGCAGGUAAGUUUGAUUCCUGAUGGUUGGCUAGUAUGGCACCCAUGGAAACUGGAGAUCAGAUAGACCUAGCUUCUCUUCAGCAUCUAAUUGCAAGAACAUAAGUCAAAAUUGCAUACUGUGUCCUAUAAAAGAAGUCAUAUUCAGGAUGCCAUCUGAAUUUCGAGAUACAACGCUCCAUGAAAAGCAUCAAUAAAAUAUGGCAACACACUGAAAGGAACAAGGCAUAUUUUGUUGUUGACUUCUUAUCCAGAAGCAACUAUUGCAUCAACUGUCACCUCCAUAUUGCCAUGACAAAGACUGUCUAAUUGUAAAACAAAUUGCGUGCGUUUAAAUGAAAAUUAUCGCUGCAAGGAUACAAUCCAAGCACCGGCUCUUUUGGAGGGUUUCCAAGUUUAUAUAGUUCUUAUUCAUCAAUCAUUGAAUGAUUGAUUAGUGUGUACUUGUCAUGGCUAAGCUAUUGGACGUACACUUGAUUUGUCAGUUUGUCCAUACAACAGCACCUC